Molecule: non-coding RNA, 45 nt
Organism: Schistosoma haematobium
Lineage: Eukaryota; Metazoa; Platyhelminthes; Trematoda; Strigeidida; Schistosomatidae
Source: Rfam
AUCCAGAUGGUGAGUCUCAACUACGACGAAACGCGCGUCUUGGAU